This 416-nucleotide long non-coding RNA is filed under the name Pongo abelii (Sumatran orangutan). RNAcentral's name for it is "lincRNA". The record is from RNAcentral. Lineage: Eukaryota; Metazoa; Chordata; Mammalia; Primates; Hominidae.
AGAUGGGAUUUCACUGUGUUAGCCAGGAUGGUCUUGAUCUCCUGACCUCGUGAUCUGCCUGCCUUGGCCUCCCAAAGUGCUGAGAUUACAGAGGUGGUUACAGAAGAGGGCUACUUUCUUUGAAGUUUUCUGUGCAAUCCAAUGGCUAAUGACUGAUCAACCAUCACAUUAUCAUUUCAACAAACUCUGUAAUAACAGGAAUAAGUGAAUACUACUGUUAUCUCUGUCUUACAGGUUGAUUUUUGAGUAGUGAACCAGCUUUGCAUUCCUGGGGAUGGAAGAAGAUACUUAGAAAAAUCAGGGAAGAGUGAAGAAGAUACUUCGAAAAAUCAGGGAAGAUUUUCAUCAUAAGGUCCAAGCAAAGGCAUGAGUAUAAGAUAUUCCUGAGUCUGAGUCUACUGACAAAUAUACCACAU